Molecule: ribosomal RNA, 253 nt
Filed under: uncultured bacterium
Lineage: Bacteria
Description: partial 16S ribosomal RNA
Rfam family: Bacterial small subunit ribosomal RNA
Source: RNAcentral
UACGUAGGGUGCAGGCGUUAAUCGGAAUUACUGGGCGUAAAGCGCGCGUAGGCGGCUUUGUAAGUUAGAGGUGAAAGCCCGGGGCUCAACCCCGGAACUGCCUUUAAGACUGCAUCGCUUGAAUCCGGGAGAGGUGAGUGGAAUUCCGAGUGUAGAGGUGAAAUUCGUAGAUAUUCGGAAGAACACCAGUGGCGAAGGCGGCUCACUGGACCGGCAUUGACGCUGAGGUGCGAAAGCGUGGGGAGCAAACAGG